AAUAUUGGACAAUGCAGCCAACCCUGAUCCAGCAAUGCCGCGUGACUGAAGAAGGCCAACGGGUUGUAAAGCACUUUCAGUAGAGAAGAAAAGCCCAGGGUUAAUAACCAUGAGUCUGGACGUUACCUACAGAAGAAGCUCCGGCUAACUCCGUGCCAGCAGCCGCGGUAAUACGGAGGGAGCGAGCGUUAAUCGGAAUCACUGGGCGUAAAGCGCGCGUAGGCGGAUAAGUAAGUCGGAAGUGAAAGCCUUGGGCUUAACCUGGGAAUUGCAUUCGAUACUGCAUGUCUAGAGUAUGGUAGAGGGAAGUGGAAUUUCCGGUGUAGCGGUGAAAUGCGUAGAUAUCGGAAGGAACACCGGUGGCGAAGGCGAUUUCCUGGGCCAAUAUUGACGCUGAGGCGCGAAAGCGUGGGGAGCAAACAGGAUUAGAUACCCUGGUAGUCCACGCCGUA
RNAcentral lists this ribosomal RNA (452 nucleotides) under uncultured marine bacterium. RNAcentral's name for it is "bacterial SSU rRNA". It matches the Rfam family "Bacterial small subunit ribosomal RNA", at positions 360 to 804 of the family's 1533-position model. The record is from RNAcentral.